This 526-nucleotide ribosomal RNA is filed under the name uncultured bacterium. RNAcentral's name for it is "bacterial SSU rRNA". It matches the Rfam family "Bacterial small subunit ribosomal RNA", at positions 984 to 1509 of the family's 1533-position model. The record is from RNAcentral.
ACAUCCAGCGAAUUCGGUAGAGAUACCUUAGUGACCUUCGGGAACGCUGAGACAGGUGCUGCAUGGCUGUCGUCAGCUCGUGUUGUGAAAUGUUGGGUUAAGUCCCGCAACGAGCGCAACCCUUAUCCUUUGUUGCCAGCGGUCCGGCCGGGAACUCAAAGGAGACUGCCAGUGAUAAACUGGAGGAAGGUGGGGAUGACGUCAAGUCAUCAUGGCCCUUACGAGUAGGGCUACACACGUGCUACAAUGGCGCAUACAAAGAGAAGCGACCUCGCGAGAGCAAGCGGACCUCAUAAAGUGCGUCGUAGUCCGGAUUGGAGUCUGCAACUCGACUCCAUGAAGUCGGAAUCGCUAGUAAUCGUAGAUCAGAAUGCUACGGUGAAUACGUUCCCGGGCCUUGUACACACCGCCCGUCACACCAUGGGAGUGGGUUGCAAAAGAAGUAGGUAGCUUAACCUUCGGGAGGGCGCUUACCACUUUGUGAUUCAUGACUGGGGUGAAGUCGUAACAAGGUAGGCGUAGAUGA